This 397-nucleotide ribosomal RNA is filed under the name uncultured bacterium. RNAcentral describes it as "partial 16S ribosomal RNA". It matches the Rfam family "Bacterial small subunit ribosomal RNA", at positions 523 to 918 of the family's 1533-position model. The record is from RNAcentral.
CUACGUAGGGGGCGAGCGUUGUCCGGAAUGAUUGGGCGUAAAGGGCGCGUAGGCGGCCCGGUAAGUCUGGAGUGAAAGUCCUGUUUUUAAGAUGGGAAUUGCUUUGGAUACUGUCGGGCUUGAGUGCAGGAGAGGUAAGUGGAAUUCCCAGUGUAGCGGUGAAAUGCGUAGAGAUUGGGAGGAACACCAGUGGCGAAGGCGACUUACUGGACUGUAACUGACGCUGAGGCGCGAAAGUGUGGGGAGCAAACAGGAUUAGAUACCCUGGUAGUCCACACUGUAAACGAUGAAUGCUAGGUGUAGGGGGUAUCAACCCCUUCUGUGCCGCAGUCAACACAAUAAGCAUUCCGCCUGGGGAGUACGGCCGCAAGGUUGAAACUCAAAUGAAUUGGCGGGG